AAUGCUAGUCUCCGAGAACAAUACCCAGCCUUAUACAACAUUACACGCGAUAAGAAUAAUACUAUUGCGCAAGUGCUCAGCAAAUCCCCGCCAAAUAUUUCGUUCAUGCCGGCUUUGAUUGGCACUUGACUAAUGUCAUGGAAUAAUCUCUUGUCCCAUCUGGAUUCGAUUAACCUGACACAAGGUCGUGAUAUGUUUCGCAGGAACCUUACUACAUUGGGAUCUUUCACAGUAGACUCUAUGUAUCGUGCACUCACGCUUUCUGAGGUACCGGUGAGUAAUAAAAAAAGUUGGAAAGCGAAGGUACCACUUAAAGUUAAAAUAUUCAUGUGGUAUCUCUGUAGGGGAGUUGCGCUAACAAAAGACAACCUCACAUGA
RNAcentral lists this ribosomal RNA (378 nucleotides) under Triticum aestivum (bread wheat). RNAcentral's name for it is "partial small subunit ribosomal RNA". Lineage: Eukaryota; Viridiplantae; Streptophyta; Magnoliopsida; Poales; Poaceae. The record is from RNAcentral.